UACAGAGGCCUCGAGCGUUGUUCGGAAUUACUGGGCGUAAAGCGAAUGUAGGUGGUGACGUAAGUCAGGUGUGAAAGCCCGGGGCUUAACCCCGGAAAUGCAUUUGAUACUGCGUCGCUAGAGUGUGAGAGAGGAAAGGGGAAUUCCCAGUGUAGGAGUGAAAUCCGUAGAUAUUGGGAGGAAUACCGAUGGCGAAGGCACCUUUCUGGCUCAUCACUGACACUGAGAUUCAAAAGCGUGGGGAGCAAACAGG
This 253-nucleotide ribosomal RNA is filed under the name uncultured bacterium. RNAcentral describes it as "partial 16S ribosomal RNA". It matches the Rfam family "Bacterial small subunit ribosomal RNA", at positions 524 to 776 of the family's 1533-position model. The record is from RNAcentral.